This is a long non-coding RNA of Marmota monax (woodchuck), 4139 nucleotides long. RefSeq lists it as uncharacterized. The transcript has 2 exons. Lineage: Eukaryota; Metazoa; Chordata; Mammalia; Rodentia; Sciuridae. The record is from RefSeq and is a predicted model, not a curated record.
GCGGGCCUGCGUCCUAGGCGGGGCCUCCGGGCCGGGGUCGCCUUGGCCGCCCGUGCGGGACGGGUCUGGGAUGGGCGCGCCCCCAGGGCGGGGAGACCAAGUGGCGGUGUCCCCCUCGUGGGCAGGGACGGCACAGAGACCCCCGAGGGCCGCGGACACCCAAGGGACAGAUGCUGGGCGAGGCCGGGGACGGGGGCGCAGACCUGGGUCCUGCCUCUUCAGUGGGUCGAGGAGCCCGCGCUGCCCGGCAGCAGCCCCAGGCGCACCCUGAGAGCCGGUCAGCUCUAGCCCGGCUGGCGCUGGGCGCAGGCGGAGUGCACUGCGGGCUCCCGGGCUCCCGGACUGAACAGGGUCAGAAGCAGCAGCAGAGCGCUCCAAUAGCAGGAUAUGCUGUAUUUUCAGAAAGGAGAAAAGAAAUGGCAUGAAUCUAGGAGAAAACACAACAAUCCAAACAAAAAGUGUGGAAAAAGAGUAUGGAAAAGGAGGAAGAAAAAGCCACAAGAGAAGAUUUUAAAAGUGUCAUAAUUAGGACAGAAGAGAAGUAGUAAGGGUAAGGAAACCACAGGAAGUCAAGGUGGUCAGUGGUGGAUGGGGUCAACCACUCAGAAAGACUAGCGAUUUUCCGCCUUACCUGAACUGAAGGAACCAAGCUAGUAGUUCAGGGUUCAGUGGCAUCUUUUUAUGUUAUAUAACUACCUUGAGUAAACCAGGCGAACAUGCCACCACAGUGACGGACACAAAGUAAGCCUUGGCCAAUACUUUAGAGCAUUUAUCAGGGACCAUUUUAGAAACUAGUUUUGUAAAGACAAAUAAAUAAUAGUCAUUACCCAUCAGUAAGUUCUGGGUCUAUUAAGGGAAUAGAGAAGUAGAGACAGAGAGAUGAUUCAUUAUAAUAAUACCAGAAAAAAGCUAGGGAACAGGAGAGGUGAAGAAAGCUAACCAGAGAAAGUAUCACCUAAAUCCUAAAUAAUAAUAUGUGCACUCGGCAGGCAAAAGGUGAAAAUGCUUUCCAGAAAAUGAAGCACUGAGAACGGCCUUAGACCCACUGACUUUGCGAGCUUUACCAAGCGUGGAGAAAAGGGUGGUUCCUGCCUUUUUCAGUAAGUUUCAGAAAAUGGAAGAAGUUUCACUUCGGUCAUGUCAAGUUACUUAAAGUCAUCCUCCGAGUGACAAAACAAAAAUAAAACCACCAGGAGCAGUGGUGCACACCUGUAAUCUCAGCAACCCAGGAGACUGAGGCAGGAGAGUCUCGAGUUUGAGGCCAGCCUGGGCAACUUAGCAAGACCCUAUCUCAAAAUAAAAAGUAAAAAGGACUGAGGAUGUAGCUCCGUGGUUGAGUGCCUCUGGAUUUAAUCCCUGGGACCAAAAAGAAAAAAAUAAGAAAGGAAAGAAAAACCAGAAUGGUGUCACAUGCUGCACUUAGAUGGCAGGAGCAAAUAAAAACCAUCUUUGGAGGGGCCAGGGUUGGGGCUCAGCUGUAGAGCACUCGCCUCUCACAUGUGAGACCCUGGGUUCGAUCCUCAGCAUCACAUAAAAAUAAAUAAACAAAAUAAAGAUAUUGUGCCCAUGUAUAACUAAAAAAUUUUUUUUUAAAAAAAUAUCUUUGGAGAAAGAUCCUAGCCACCCAACUAUUCCUAUAAAAAUUCUCAAAUACAGUGAACAACACAAAAAUAGCUAGUCCUCAGGAUGACAAGACACCUGAGAACUGGCAGAAGCAACGUGUGACAGAUACUGAGGCAGGGGGACUUAACCUGGAAUUCUCAGGCAGAGGCAAUGACACAGCAUGUGCAUUGUUCAAAGGAGUAGAUUGCAACUCAAAAGUCCAAGCAAGGAAUGGAGCUGUGAAACGCAGUGUGUUGAGAAAGAAAACAAAAUCUGGGUUGGAAAAGAGGGCAGGGGGCUGAGGUUAUGGCUCAGUGGUGGAGCCCUUGCUUAGCACGCAUGAAGCACUGAGUUCAAUCCUUACACCACAUAAAAACAAAAAAAAUAAAAUAAAGGUAUUGUGGCAACAACUAAAAAAUUUUUUUAAUUAAAAAAAAUAAUAAAAAAGAACCCAAAGGAUGGAAUUCACAGCAGGUUGGAGAGAAUAAAUGAAUUGGAGAUGGGUCCGAAGAAAUUAUCCAACAUGAAGAAAUAAAAGUAUGAGAAUACAGAAGGACUAAGAGGCAGAGAAUAGAUUGAGAAUGUCUGACAGACAUAGCUAGAGUCUCCAAAAGAGAGAAAUAGGACAGAAAUCUUUAGACCCCAAACUACAGACUCAAGAAGCUCAGUGAAAUCGAAGCAGAGAAGGUGAAAAGAAAUCUACAAAUAGACACAUCCUGGUGAAACUGCAGAAAAGGACAAAAGCUGAUAAGAAGGUGUAAGAAACCAAGCUUAUUUUUAACAGAGUGAGAAUUUGAGCAGGCUACAUUCUCUAGAGGAAGCGUUCUGAAAAUAUAAACAGCUGCCAGCCACGGGUGCUGAACCGCAAAGACAUCCCAGCCAAGAUGGGGUGAAGAGUGCGGGGUGAGGAGCAAGUUGGCCUCAUGAAAUGACCGUCCCUGUGCAGAACAACAAGAAGCAGUGACUCCCAGGGGCUUAGUACAUGAAGAAUUGCAGUGUUCAUGACCCGGCUCUGCCCCAGCCUUCCCAAUACCCCCAGAAGCUUUCCACCCUCGCUCCCAGCCAGUGCUCCCACAUCCCCUCUGUGGGCAGGGGCCCAGGGGUCCCUCCUGUUCAAAGAUCACCUCUGCCUUACACGUCCCAGCCAGCAGCCAACACCACAGAAGGCUGAACCCGGAAUUCCUUUAUUAGUAUUGACAUUAUCUGGUAUCAAGCCCCCAGUUUCAAACAUCUGGCAGAAAACUGGAAAAGAGCCUUACAAGUGCCAUUCCGAACGGGGCCAUCAGUGAGCGCACACAGUGCUAUUCACAGGGCUUUGUGGACAUGCUCAGCUCGUUCCCACCACUGGGCAGCAUGACAAAGACUCAGCCCCCAGUAAACAGUCCUCAAAUAGAUAUGCUUCAAGAAAACCACCCCCACAGGUGUCUGCGAGUGUGCGAAGCAGACAGACCCCUUUGAGGGGGCCAUGCUCAUCAGGAGGAGCAGGGAGGGGAGCUGUGGGCUUGGGCCAGCUGUCGUACGUGGGUGUACACAGCGGCGAUGGGGACACACAUGCAAACCCUGCAUCUUUCUGGCCUGGGGAACAUAAGAGUGAACAUGAAAAUGGGACACACUGAAGAGAGAGAGCAGACCGCAGAAGAAAAAGGUCAAGAGGAGAUCCCCAUGUUCAUUCUGUCCGUGUCUCCCUUCCCACAGAACCAUGUCACUCGGACCCGAGUUGGUGGGCUAAAGAAAAGGGUCUGAAGCCAGCCCAGGGCUUCCCCUAGAACAGUCUUCAAUUGGAACCCAUGCAAGAAAACAGCCUGCAAAAAAGGAAACAACACUCAAAACAGGAAAAUAACUGAAUCCAGAAACCCUGCAGCCCAACAUCGCAGGAUCCAAAUGCAGCCUGACGUAGAAAGAAACAGGAACGUGGAAAACUCUGUUAGAGAGAAGAAAAGCAAUAAAAUCCACCCUGGAAAUGCGCCAGGGUUACAGUCCACAGACACAGGUUUUAAAGCAACUUUCAAAACUAAAUGAAGUAAAACAAAACACGACUUGAGGGCUGGGGGUCUGGCUCAGCAGAAGAGCGCUCGCCUAGCUCGCACGAGGCACUGGGCUCAACCCUCACACCACAUAAGAACAAAUAAAUACAGGUAUUGUGUCCAUCUACAACUAUAUAUGUAUAUGGAAAAAAAAACCCAAGAGAAAAAUGGUAAAGCUCAGCAGAGAAAUAGAAGCAAUAAAAUAGGACCAAAUAGAAAUUAUAACCCUGGAAAGCAUAAUUUCUGAAAUUAAAAGUUCACUGGAGUUGACUGCAGUGGCUUCUUGUAGUCCCACAGACUUAGGUGCCUGAGGCAAGUUCAAGGCCAGCCUCAGCAACUUAGCAAGGCCCUAAGCAACUCAGUGAGAUCCUGUUUCAAAAUAAAAAGGAUUGGGGCUGGGGUUGUGGCUCAGUGGCAGAGUGCUUGCCUAGCACCUGUGAGGUACUGGGUUCAAUCCUCAGCACCACAUAAAAAUAGAUUUAAAUAAAUAAAAAGGACUGGGGAUUUGGCUCA